RNAcentral lists this ribosomal RNA (2713 nucleotides) under Primno brevidens. RNAcentral's name for it is "partial 28S ribosomal RNA". It matches the Rfam family "Eukaryotic large subunit ribosomal RNA", at positions 71 to 1870 of the family's 3401-position model. The record is from RNAcentral. Lineage: Eukaryota; Metazoa; Arthropoda; Malacostraca; Amphipoda; Phrosinidae.
GCGAUUCCCUAAGUAGUGGCGAGCGAAAAGGGAACAGCCCAGGCGCAUAAUCUCCCGGGCUACCAAGCCCGCGGCGAAAUGUUGCGUAUAGGGAAGGGUCGAUUACAGCCUCGCGCACCCGUCUGAUGUGCCUAAUCGCGUCCUGAAAUGUUCGCGCAAGUUGGGCAUUUUAUCUUUCGGGGUAAACGCUCAACAAACGGUUCCAUGGAGGGUGCAAGCCCCGUAUGGCCGCGUGUGAGUGUGCGAAGGCUAGGCCUCUUUUCCCUGAGAGUCGCGUUGCUUGAACUUGCAGCGCUAAGCAGGAGGUAAACUCCUCCUAAGGCUAAAUAUAUCCACAGAACCGAUAGCUAACAAGUACCGCGAGGGAAAGUUGAAAAGCACUCUGGAGAGAGGGUGACAAGACCGUGAGACCGUCCAGGGUAAAAGCCGAUGUCGAUAUCCUAGUUGCGCUGGGACCAGGCUUCGGCCUGAAGCAGAUCAUGCGUCUCGUGUACCGAUUCGUCGGUGUGCGUGCGUGUAAUGUGUUUUGCUUAACGUCCAUUAACAGCCCGUCGCGACUCUUGUGAGGUCACUCGCGGUAAUUGAGCGUCUGUCUGCGUUCGUGAAGGGCAGAAGCUGUCGGAGGUCGUGUAUGCCGGUAGGCCUAGUAGCGUUCACGCGUGAAGAGCUCCCGGUGUGCGCGGCGGUACAAUAUACCUCCAUAGCUAAUGUCUGGGCGUAUGGUGGGCGAUUUCGUUGCCAAUGCGUUUAAGAUCCUCUGCGAGAAGUUGUGUUGACUCACCGUGUACUAGCGAAUGAUCCCAAAGCUUCGUGCUGAUGAAGGUUGUUUAAGUUGGUGCAGGUAGUUCCGACGGUACGCCUAGGUGACAUCGGUCACGUCUCGAAACACGGGCCAAGGAGCAUAGCGUAAAGCCAAGUCAGACGGUUUCUCGAAACCUUGUGGCGAUAGUGAAAGCGAUCUAUCGGGCUUCGGUCCGUUUGUGUGUGUACUGAGAAUUCCGGGCAACCGAGAUUCGAGGUGCGCGCCGAUCUAGAAGGGCUGAUCCUCAUGUUCUUUAUUGAAUGGAGAGGCGCAAGCUCCAGGCCCGAUCGUAGUUCGGUAAGUUGACUUCGGUCUUCUUGCUGACAGACUGGGCACUGCUUAGGCUUUCCGCUAUGACCCGAAAGAUAGUGAACUAUGCUUGGCGAAGACGAAGCCCCAGGAAACUGUGGUGGAAGUCUGUAGCCGUUUUGACGUGCAAAUCAAUGGCGUCAGCUGAGCAUAGGGGCGAAAGACCAAUCGAACUAUCUAGUAGCUGGUUCCAUUCGAAGUUUCUCUCAGGAUAGCUUGCGUGACAGAAACGCUAUUAGUCAGAACUCUCGUACACGAAAGCGUGCGGGUGGUUCGUCCCCAACGGACAGUCGUUGUUGAGGGUUGACGUGCAAAAGAACUCAUUAUCUCACAUCUCUGUUGUCAGGGUAGCGUAUCAUUUAACCGUGAGCAGUUACGUCUGGUAAAGAGAAUGAGUAGAGUUAGCUCGUUGCUUUCAUAGCAGCGGCAGCGGGGCGUCCUACGCCUCGCACUAUUAUCAAACUUUAAAUGGGCGAGGUACUCGGCAUUAUCUUAACUGCUUGAUGCCGGGGCGAAACACGUCUUGGUUGUACAACGGAGUCGAUGGUGAAUGCGUGCGCGCAAAGUGGGUCCGUUCUGGUAAGCAGAACUGAUAAUGAGGGAUGAACCUAACGCAUGUGCUAAGGGGUCAAAGAGACAGCUAUUUCUCGAAACCAUUGGAAAGGUGUUGCUUGCUGAAGACAGCAGGACGGUGGUCAUGGAAGUCGAUACCCGCUAAGGAGUGUGUAACUACUCAUCCUGCCGAAGCGAGUAACCCUGAAAAUGGAUGACUCUAUAGCUCUCUCCCGAUGCACAGCUGUCAGUAGCACUUAGAGUCACUCCGUGUCUCCAAGCUCUGACAAGUAGAAUGGCGUGCUGCAAUGCGUUGACGACCUUCGCGUGAGCGUGGUCAGAGCUUGCAGCAGUGCAGAUCUUGGUGGUAGUAGCAAGUACUCUGGUGAAUAACCUUGAGCUGUGAGGCUGAUAAGGGUUCCAUGUCAACAGCGUUUGUACAUGGGUAAGUCGCUCCUAAGCCCCCAUUAUUCCUAAUGGUGAUUGCGAAUGCUCGAAGAGUGUACUUAAAUGGCAACGAGAGUCACUACUGUUGCUUGCAGGUUGCGAAAGGUCGUGCUAUACCAUCUUCGGAAGGGAAAAGCAUGUACACUUAGUAGUACCAAACUUGCUCGCUCUCCUGUGUCUCUCGCUGUGUAUUGCUCUCGCGUCGCUUGGCGAAAGGGAACUGCGGACUUAGUUCGUAGACCACACCUGGUACCCUGAGACGGUUCACCGUAUCACGGACCUAGCAAUAGUUGCCAGGCCAGUCGUUGUCAUAAGUUACUCGACGGGGAGAUGUCUUCUCUCUUUGAUAAAGCGUGAUUACCCUGAAAACACCUCGCGUGGCGGAAGGGUAAUGCUUUGCUUAGCAGAGUACUCUACUCCCCCGAGUAGUUCGACGUAACUUGUGAUCCGUGAAAAGGUGGUCGAGGGGUAAGCAAGGAUGGGUCUCUCUGUUGUGUGUGAGCGUGAUUUCGGUCGUCGCUCAUUCGCUUGAGGGUCUCUCCUGACACUUUACUCGAGUGUUAGCCAGGGCGUGGGCGUACCCAUAUCCGCAUCUGUCUCAAA